Molecule: unclassified non-coding RNA, 485 nt
Filed under: Hevea brasiliensis (rubber tree)
Lineage: Eukaryota; Viridiplantae; Streptophyta; Magnoliopsida; Malpighiales; Euphorbiaceae
Source: RNAcentral
GCAAAGGCCACCUGAGGUGAAGUACCUUAACAUUGUUCUUGGUGUCAUUUACUUUUAUGCAGUUGACAUAUUGUAGUUUGAUAUACUUUGUUCUUCUGCUAAUCACACCACUGGGAUACCCUACUAUAGCCUAUAAUGCUGUUAAUUGUCUAUAUGACACUUGUUAUGUUCUUGAAAUUAUCGUGUUGGAAAUACAUGUAAUUUGUUAUAGUUUCUAGAUGCCUCCAUGCCACUUGGCAAGGACUGUCAAUCUAACAUUUAGUUGCUUCCCAAAGAUUUUCUGGUUGGGAGCCAACCAUUUCAAAACAUUAUAACUGGCUCUUCACGGUGCUCUUCAGCUUAUCUUUUGAGCUGAAAUUUGCAUCAGUAUGUAAAAUAGGUGACCCAUCAAGGCAUUCUUCCACUAACCAUAGAGAUGCUUAUGAUGCAUGUUCUCCUGAAACAGAAACAUAAAUGUUAUUAAUAAGUUUGCUUUUUAAUACUUG